UGGGCUGUAGCUCAAUAGUAGAGUGCUUGCCUAGCAGGUAUGAGGUGCUGGGUUCAAUCUCCAGUACCCCAA
This 72-nucleotide transfer RNA is filed under the name Fukomys damarensis (Damara mole-rat). It matches the Rfam family "tRNA". From Rfam's summary of the family: Transfer RNA (tRNA) molecules are approximately 80 nucleotides in length. The record is from Rfam by way of RNAcentral. Lineage: Eukaryota; Metazoa; Chordata; Mammalia; Rodentia; Bathyergidae.